GAGCUUGUAGCUCAGUUGGUUAGAGCGCUACACUGAUAAUGUAGAGGUCCGCGGUUCAAAUCCGCGCAGGCUCA
Molecule: transfer RNA, 74 nt
Organism: Microscilla marina ATCC 23134
Lineage: Bacteria; Pseudomonadati; Bacteroidota; Cytophagia; Cytophagales; Microscillaceae
Rfam family: tRNA
About the family: Transfer RNA (tRNA) molecules are approximately 80 nucleotides in length. Their secondary structure includes four short double-helical elements and three loops (D, anti-codon, and T loops).
Source: Rfam